RNAcentral lists this long non-coding RNA (802 nucleotides) under Pongo abelii (Sumatran orangutan). RNAcentral's name for it is "lincRNA". The record is from RNAcentral. Lineage: Eukaryota; Metazoa; Chordata; Mammalia; Primates; Hominidae.
UUUUCUAGCAGCCGUACCCUCAAGAACUGCACCUUCCAACCACCCUUAUAUGAGCCUGCUCCAAAACCUUGCCAGCCAGCACUUCCAGGUUACGACUAUUGACCUCCAGCUCCCAGUUUCAGAGAGUUCUCCCAGUAUCCUGGAUCACACUGGUCUGAAAGCUGUUUGGUAGACAACCUUCGAGUCUUUCUGCCUUCAUACUGUGGGUAUACGGUUCUCCCAACUGAAAACCCAUUUAUUUUCUUAUCUGUCUACUCAAAGCCUAACCAACACCAAAUGGCCUGGAAUUGCCACAUACCUACCAGUUGCCUCUUUCCUCCUCCAGCCCUUGUGAAUGUGAAUUCACAUCUCUGUUCUCUGUGUUCCUUGGCCACUUAGUACCAUUCACAAUAUCUCUCAUAGCUAGUUCUCUGCCUUAGGGCUGGCCCAUGGGACUAAAAUUACUUGUGGUAGGUAUUAUUUUUUUUCAUAUUUCUAUUCUUAUAGCACCUAGCAUAGAACGAACAGCCUAGUAACUAGUGGGUAUCCAAUAACAACUUAUGCAGGUAAUUAGGCAAGAAAAAGAAAUACAGCAUAUUAAAAUUGGAAAGGUGGAAGUCAAAUUGUCCCUGUUUGCUGGCAACAUAAUCUUAUAUAUAGAAGAACUUAAACACUCUGCCAAAAAUCCGUUAGAUCUGAUAAACAAUUCAGUAAGGUUGCAUUGUAUGUAUCAAAACAUCGCUAUGUAACCCAUAGAGAUGUACAAUUAUUUUAUGUUGAUCAAAAAUAAAAUAAUAAAAGCUCUUAAUAAAACAGUCAUCUC